RNAcentral lists this ribosomal RNA (253 nucleotides) under uncultured bacterium. Its description in RNAcentral is "partial 16S ribosomal RNA". It matches the Rfam family "Bacterial small subunit ribosomal RNA", at positions 524 to 776 of the family's 1533-position model. The record is from RNAcentral.
UACGUAGGGUGCAAGCGUUGUCCGGAAUUAUUGGGCGUAAAGAGCUCGUAGGCGGUCUGUCGCGUCUGCUGUGAAAACUCGGGGCUUAACCCCGGGCCUGCAGUGGGUACGGGCAGACUAGAGUGCGGUAGGGGAGACUGGAAUUCCUGGUGUAGCGGUGAAAUGCGCAGAUAUCAGGAGGAACACCGAUUGCGAAGGCAGCUCACUAAACUGUAACUGACACUGAGGCACGAAAGCGUGGGGAUCAAACAGG